Molecule: ribosomal RNA, 450 nt
Filed under: uncultured bacterium
Lineage: Bacteria
Description: partial 16S ribosomal RNA
Rfam family: Bacterial small subunit ribosomal RNA
Source: RNAcentral
GUAGGGAAUCUUCCACAAUGGACGAAAGUCUGAUGGAGCAACGCCGCGUGAGUGAAGAAGGUCUUCGGAUCGUAAAACUCUGUUGUUAGUGAAGAACGUGCAUGAUAGUAACUGAUCAUGUAAUGACGGUAUCUAACCAGAAAGCCACGGCUAACUACGUGCCAGCAGCCGCGGUAAUACGUAGGUGGCAAGCGUUGUCCGGAUUUAUUGGGCGUAAAGGGAACGCAGGCGGUUUUUUAAGUCUGAUGUGAAAGCCUUCGGCUUAACCGAAGAAUAGCAUUGGAAACUGGAAGACUUGAGUGCAGAAGAGGAGAGUGGAAUUCCAUGUGUAGCGGUGAAAUGCGUAGAUAUUAGGAAGAACACCAGUGGCGAAGGCGACUUUCUGGACGAAAACUGACGCUGAGGCGCGAAAGCCAGGGGAGCGAACGGGAUUAGAUACCCUGGUAGUCC